RNAcentral lists this ribosomal RNA (403 nucleotides) under bacterium. RNAcentral's name for it is "partial 16S ribosomal RNA". It matches the Rfam family "Bacterial small subunit ribosomal RNA", at positions 355 to 776 of the family's 1533-position model. The record is from RNAcentral.
UGGGGAAUAUUGCACAAUGGGGGAAACCCUGAUGCAGCGACGCCGCGUGAACGAAGAAGGUAUUCGUAUCGUAAAGUUCUUUCCUAUGGGAAGAUAAUGACAGUACCAUAGAAGAAAGCUCCGGCUAAAUACGUGCCAGCAGCCGCGGUAAUACGUAUGGAGCGAGCGUUGUCCGAAAUUAUUGGGCGUAAAGGGUACGCAGGCGGUUUAAUAAGUCGAAUGUUAAAGAUCGGGGCUCAACCCCGUAAAGCAUUGGAAACUGAUAAACUUGAGUAGUGGAGAGGAAAGUGGAAUUCCUAGUGUAGUGGUGAAAUACGUAGAUAUUAGGAGGAAUACAAGUAGCGAAGGCGACUUUCUGGACACAAACUGACGCUGAGGUACGAAAGCGUGGGGAGCAAACAGG